RNAcentral lists this ribosomal RNA (462 nucleotides) under uncultured bacterium. RNAcentral's name for it is "partial 16S ribosomal RNA". It matches the Rfam family "Bacterial small subunit ribosomal RNA", at positions 29 to 505 of the family's 1533-position model. The record is from RNAcentral.
ACGAACGCUGGCGGCGUGCUUAACACAUGCAAGUCGAACGGAAAGGCCCCUUUGGGGGUACUCGAGUGGCGAACGGGUGAGUAACACGUGAGUAACCUGCCCUUGACUUCGGGAUAACUUCAGGAAACUGGGGCUAAUACCGGAUAGGAAUCCUUGCUGCAUGGUGGGGGUUGGAAAGCUUCGGCGGUUUUGGAUGGACUCGCGGCUUAUCAGCUUGUUGGUGGGGUAGUGGCUUACCAAGGCUUUGACGGGUAGCCGGCCUGAGAGGGCGACCGGCCACAUUGGGACUGAGAUACGGCCCAGACUCCUACGGGAGGCAGCAGUGGGGAAUAUUGCACAAUGGGCGGAAGCCUGAUGCAGCAACGCCGCGUGCGGGAUGACGGCCUUCGGGUUGUAAACCGCUUUCAGCAGGGGCGAAGCUUGUGGUGACGGUACCUGCAGAAGAAGCACCGGCUAACUACG